This 462-nucleotide ribosomal RNA is filed under the name uncultured beta proteobacterium. RNAcentral describes it as "bacterial SSU rRNA". It matches the Rfam family "Bacterial small subunit ribosomal RNA", at positions 968 to 1434 of the family's 1533-position model. Lineage: Bacteria; Pseudomonadati; Pseudomonadota; Betaproteobacteria. The record is from RNAcentral.
ACCUUACCUACCUUUGACAUGUACGGAACCCUGCUGAGAAGUGGGGGUGCUCGAAAGAGAACCGUAACACAGGUGCUGCAUGCCUGUCGUCAGCUCGUGUCGUGAGAUGUUGGGUUAAGUCCCGCAACGAGCGCAACCCUUGUCAUUAGUUGCCACGAAAGGGCACUCUAAUGAGACUGCCGGUGACAAACCGGAGGAAGGUGGGGAUGACGUCAAGUCCUCAUGGCCCUUAUGGGUAGGGCUUCACACGUCAUACAAUGGUACAUACAGAGGGCCGCCAACCCGCGAGGGGGAGCUAAUCCCAGAAAGUGUAUCGUAGUCCGGAUUGUAGUCUGCAACUCGACUACAUGAAGUUGGAAUCGCUAGUAAUCGCGGAUCAGCAUGUCGCGGUGAAUACGUUCCCGGGUCUUGUACACACCGCCCGUCACACCAUGGGAGCGGGUUUUACCAGAAGUAGUUAGC